This 253-nucleotide ribosomal RNA is filed under the name uncultured bacterium. RNAcentral's name for it is "partial 16S ribosomal RNA". It matches the Rfam family "Bacterial small subunit ribosomal RNA", at positions 524 to 776 of the family's 1533-position model. The record is from RNAcentral.
UACAGAGGGGGCAAGCGUUGUUCGGAAUUACUGGGCGUAAAGGGCGCGUAGGCGGCCUGUUAAGUCGAACGUGAAAUCCCCGGGCUCAACCCGGGAACUGCGUCCGAAACUGGCAGGCUCGAAUUCGGGAGAGGGAUGCGGAAUUCCAGAUGUAGCGGUGAAAUGCGUAGAUAUCUGGAGGAACAUCGGUGGCGAAGGCGGCAUCCUGGACCGAUAUUGACGCUGAGGCGCGAAAGCCAGGGGAGCAAACGGG